Gasterosteus aculeatus aculeatus (three-spined stickleback) is the source of this 775-nucleotide non-coding RNA. NCBI's taxonomy places the organism in Eukaryota, Metazoa, Chordata, Actinopteri, Perciformes, Gasterosteidae. The record is from the annotation of a RefSeq genome assembly.
UCCUUAUCACUCCACGACUCUCCAUGCCACUCUGGAUGUAACAACAUGCUCAUCAAACAAGACCUCCUCCGAAUAGCUCUCUUUUUUAUGUGGACUGCAGGUCAUAUUGAUGGCAGUGAUGUCACCCAGACUGCGCUGCUGUGGAAAGACAAGGGUGCCGAGGCAACAAUGAACUGCAGCCACACCAAGGGGAGCAGCUACUACCAGAUGUACUGGUACAGACAGCUGCCAGGAGAAACUAUGAAACAGAUCGUGUACACGUCCUUGGGCGUGAAUCAUGAUUUUGGAAAUUUCAGCAAGGAGAAAUUUUCAGCCACCAAGCCCGACGCUGACAGUGGGACGUUCACAGUGAAGAACCUGCAGCCGCAAGAUAAGGGCUUGUACUUCUGUGCUGUGAGCCAACACAGUGAUGCAGAAGCUCUCAACAGCUUAACAAAAACCACAGUGCACUGUAACAUAGCGGUUAUAAUAAUCGCAUGUACUGUAGGGGGACCUCGAGGACCACAAAUAGUCCAAGUGGAAUUUUUUAUAAAGCAGCUGUCAGGAACAGAAGAAGUCCCACAAUAAAGAGCCACUCCCACCGGCAGCUCUUCACAUCUCUGUAACCACACUGGAAGACUUAUGAGACCCUGACUUACACGUUGUAAUACAGCGAUGAGGAUGAAAGGUGAAUGCCAAACUCGUAGAUUUACAUCGGACUGAGAGUGCUCUACCGCACCGUUGUGACGAAAAGAGAGCUGAGCUGGAAGGCAAAGCUCUCGAUCUACCGGUCAAU